GUCGAGCGAGUCUGCCUUGAAGAUCGGAGUGCUUGCACUCUGUGAAACAAGAUACAGGCUAGCGGCGGACGGGUGAGUAACACGUGGGUAACCUGCCCAAGAGAUCGGGAUAACACCUGGAAACAGAUGCUAAUACCGGAUAACAACAGAUGAUGCCUAUCAACCGUUUAAAAGAUGGUUCUGCUAUCACUCUUGGAUGGACCUGCGGUGCAUUAGCUAGUUGGUAGGGUAACGGCCUACCAAGGCGAUGAUGCAUAGCCGAGUUGAGAGACUGAUCGGCCACAUUGGGACUGAGACACGGCCCAAACUCCUACGGGAGGCAGCAGUAGGGAAUCUUCCACAAUGGACGCAAGUCUGAUGGAGCAACGCCGCGUGAGUGAAGAAGGGUUUCGGCUCGUAAAGCUCUGUUGUUGGUGAAGAAGGACAGGGGUAGUAACUGACCUUUGUUUGACGGUAAUCAAUUAGAAAGUCACGGCUAACUACGUGCCAGCAGCCGCGGUAAUACGUAGGUGGCAAGCGUUGUCCGGAUUUAUUGGGCGUAAAGCGAGUGCAGGCGGUUCGAUAAGUCUGAUGUGAAAGCCUUCGGCUCAACCGGAGAAUUGCAUCAGAAACUGUCGAGCUUGAGUACAGAAGAGGAGAGUGGAACUCCAUGUGUAGCGGUGAAAUGCGUAGAUAUAUGGAAGAACACCGGUGGCGAAGGCGGCUCUCUGGUCUGUUACUGACGC
This 725-nucleotide ribosomal RNA is filed under the name uncultured bacterium. RNAcentral describes it as "bacterial SSU rRNA". It matches the Rfam family "Bacterial small subunit ribosomal RNA", at positions 61 to 746 of the family's 1533-position model. The record is from RNAcentral.